GCCACUUUUGCUAUAUGUAGAUUUCUAGAAUAAUUUAUAUUCUCUUCUAUCUACUGAUGAAAUUCAAAGUUUUUAUCAAAAUAGUUGGAUCAAAUCAAUCUAUAGUGCUUAUCAGUGUUUUGGCAUCAUAUGGUACCUUGUUCACUAUGUCAUUGAAUAUAAUUAUGAGAGAUGGUUAUCUACCCCAAAUCUGGAAGCUUAAACAUUUAUUAGAUGAUUAAGUUUCAGAUAUUUUUGGCUAUUUAUAACCCUUACUAAUCAUUUUAACAUGUACAUUGCCUGAUAUGACUUUUUUAAAGAGGUUUUUCAUUUUUCCCAAUUUAUUUUUUCUUUCUGUAAU
Molecule: long non-coding RNA, 340 nt
Filed under: Mytilus galloprovincialis (Mediterranean mussel)
Lineage: Eukaryota; Metazoa; Mollusca; Bivalvia; Mytilida; Mytilidae
Source: RNAcentral